CAAUGUGCAAAAGAUAAGUAAAGUAUACAUCAAAAGCCCAUAUAAUCUUAUAAGAAUAUAGAUUAGUGCAUAAACUAGGUAUACGGACAGCAGUAAAACUAGGGUUACUAUUUGAUAUUGAAUGGGUUAUGUGUGAGUAGGAGAAAAUGAUUGUGUAUUCCAGGAAAUGUGAAUAUUACUAUUAUUGUACUUGUGAACAUAUGCAUUACAGUCCACAUACACACACAUUUUCAUUGCUCUUCUGAGUACACUGUUACUCAUAUAUUCAAUAUCUCAUAAUUUGUGGACUGUACAUACAUGAGACAUGGGUCUAUCCUAAAAUAACAUCAGUAUAUGUCACGGGUAAUUUAAUUAAUAGCAUUGAAACUACACAUAACUAUUAUUAUUAGGGCAUAUGCUUUCAUGCAUAUACUGAUUUUGUGAUGGAGGUCUGGUUAGGUUGCAUUUCUAUUUCAGUCCAAAUUUAUGCUGAGGGUUGUGAUAAAGAAUUGGUACCAACCAACAUCAAAAUAUAUAUGUACAGGGUAAUACUUGUUCUGACACAGGUUUCAUUGUGAGGAGAGGCAAGGUAGUGUGCAUUUUUUACCCUUGAGGAUACAUGGAUAAGAAGUAAAAUGGAUGUGUCACUAGUUUGGAAAGACUUACCAAUCAGAAUGGAAAAAAAAAAGUCAAAAUUCCUAA
This 681-nucleotide long non-coding RNA is filed under the name Marmota monax (woodchuck). Lineage: Eukaryota; Metazoa; Chordata; Mammalia; Rodentia; Sciuridae. The record is from RNAcentral.